AUACAGAGGGUGCGAGCGUUAAUCGGAAUUACUGGGCGUAAAGCGCGCGUAGGCGGUUUGUUAAGUUGGAUGUGAAAGCCCCGGGCUCAACCUGGGAACUGCAUUCAAAACUGGCAGGCUAGAGUAUGGUAGAGGGAAGUGGAAUUCCGGGUGUAGCGGUGAAAUGCGUAGAUAUCCGGAGGAACAUCAGUGGCGAAGGCGGCUUCCUGGACCAAUACUGACGCUGAGGUGCGAAAGCGUGGGGAGCAAACAGGAUUAGAAACCCCAGUAGUCC
RNAcentral lists this ribosomal RNA (274 nucleotides) under uncultured bacterium. RNAcentral's name for it is "partial 16S ribosomal RNA". It matches the Rfam family "Bacterial small subunit ribosomal RNA", at positions 523 to 796 of the family's 1533-position model. The record is from RNAcentral.